This is a long non-coding RNA of Olea europaea var. sylvestris, 644 nucleotides long. RefSeq lists it as uncharacterized. Lineage: Eukaryota; Viridiplantae; Streptophyta; Magnoliopsida; Lamiales; Oleaceae. The transcript is spliced from 3 exons. The record is from RefSeq and is a predicted model, not a curated record.
CACACUCAACCAACCACUCCUUCAUUUCCCACGCAACCUUGUGCAAACUCCUCUUUAUUUCUUCUUCUUCUUUGUUUCUUUUGUAUUUCUCUCUCCAUGACUCUCGCUACUAUAAGUUUGCCAUAAAACUGAAAAGCAUCAUCUUCAAUCUUGUGGUGUUUAGAGUGUAAAUAAGGGUUCUAAGGAGCAUAACAAAGGAUCCACCAAAGACCCAUUUGAGAGCAUGGAGCUUUGGGAUCUAGCUAUAAAAGCUACUCAGAAAUGGAGCUUCCUCCACUGGAUGUUGUCUUUGUUCAUGGUCUGUGUGGGGGUCCCUUCAAAAAUUAGCAGUUAUCUGAGGACAAGUCAUCAACAAAGUCUGGCCUUGUAGAGAAGAUUGAUGAAGAGGCAAGGAAACAAGGAACAUUUUGGCCUAGGAGUGACUUUCAGCUGACUUUUCUCAUACUUGCUUGUUUGGUCUCAAAUACAAGAUUAGUAUAGUUUGGUCUCUGCUAUUAUAGAACAUUGCAUAACACUAUACAUCUCUUGAUUUAAUAAUUUAGCAUUUGACUUUAUCUGCUUCCAUUUGAAUUUGGAAGCAGAUUUCAAGUUUAAUUUCUGAUAUAUGAAUUAAGAGGUCUUUCAGUAGAUUUUUUCUUUUCUUU